This is a long non-coding RNA of Hordeum vulgare subsp. vulgare (domesticated barley), 795 nucleotides long. RefSeq lists it as uncharacterized. The transcript is spliced from 4 exons. Lineage: Eukaryota; Viridiplantae; Streptophyta; Magnoliopsida; Poales; Poaceae. The record is from RefSeq and is a predicted model, not a curated record.
GCGCUCCGGUGCUGCUCCGCGACGCCGGCCGCCGCCGACGGAGGAGGCAGGUGGUGGAGGUGGUGGGUGAGGGACGCGCCCUUGUAGAAGAAAAGAGAAUGAACAAUUACCCGAAAGCGAGUGAUAUUAGGAAGGUAACCACCGGGAGCAGAUUGCCGAAAGUCGCAGCAAAUGUUGCGGUCGUGUACUCCAACCCGACGAAGAGCGUGUACUGAAGCAGCACCGGUCCGAGGAUUCCACUAAGGAACAGGCAAUGGGGCCAAGGAAUACAGUGGCCAGCAUCUGCCUGAAAGUGAUGAGGACCAGCCGGUUCAUCCCCUGGUUCAGCGCCUGCUUGAGCAGCGCGGUCAUGACGGCGAUCACGACGUUCGUCGCCACCAUCGCCGCCGUCGGCAUCCACUGCUCCACGCAUCCUGCACUCCACAUUUUCGGUCCGUCCGCCUUGAUGAUCUGAUGGGCAGCUUGUUUCUGGUUAUGCCAUGGUUUUAUAGGGGUGGUGACAGCCGAAGGUCCAGAAAAUGGCAUCUGAAGAUGGUACCGUGGCCGAGGCAUCCCUGCUCUUUCCCCACAGCAGAAUAUAGAGGCCCAUGAUCAUCAGUAUGGAUCCCAGUACACUGCAAUGGCAAAACAAAAAAUACAAAAGGUGAUGCCGUUUGGACCAGCCAUUGCAGUUCUACAAGUGCAGAAAGUGGAUAAACUCACCCGUAAACUGAAAAGAUUAAGCAUCAUUUGUUUCAACAUGGGAACUGAAUGAAUGGCCAUGAUACAGUACUGGUUGAAUAACCGAGGCAGGUC